Molecule: ribosomal RNA, 1390 nt
Filed under: Triticum aestivum (bread wheat)
Lineage: Eukaryota; Viridiplantae; Streptophyta; Magnoliopsida; Poales; Poaceae
Description: partial small subunit ribosomal RNA
Source: RNAcentral
GUAACUACGCCUCCACUUUCCUCUCCUUUCUUCCCCACCCACCACCUCUUUAUCGUCCACGCACCUCUUCUCCCAUAGCCUCUCGCUCCACUCGCCGCCUGCGCUGACCUGUGGGCCCCUGCUUCCGCCUCCCCUUCCUCAUCUUAUUACUUUCCCCACCACGCCGAUCCGCCGGUCUGUCUCGCAAACCCUAACCCUAGCAAGCCCGCUUCGCUCCUCCCCCUCCAACAAGAUCUCUCUCCGAAUCUUUGGAUGCACCAGCUCCGAUGUCUGCCCCACCGCCACCCGCCUCCUCCGAUGAUGAUGGUAAGCCCGGCGACGAGGAGGGCGUAGAGAUCCGCGAGGUAUGGGCGAACAACCUCGAGGCGGAGUUCGCCGUGAUCCGUGACGUCGUCGACGAUUACCCGUACAUCGCCAUGGACACCGAGUUCCCGGGCAUCGUGUGCCGCCCGCUCGGGAGCUUUCGCUCCAAUGACGAGUACAACUACGCCACCCUCAAGGCCAACGUCGACAUGCUGAGCCUCAUCCAGCUUGGUCUCACCCUCUCCGACGAGAACGGCGCACUCCCGGCCAGGGGCACGGGGGGGCGCCCCUGCGCCUGGCAGUUCAACUUUCGGGGUUUCGAUCCGCGCUCAGACCCCGCCAACGCUGACUCCAUCGACCUGCUACGCAACAGCGGGAUCGACUUCGACCACUUCACCACCGAGGGUGCUGACACAGGCCACUUCGCCGAGCUGCUCAUGUCGUCGGGCGUCCUGCUCAACGCUGAGCUCCAGUGGGUCACAUUCCACAGCGGGUACGACUUCGGGUACCUGCUCAAGCUGCUAACCGGGCGGAACCUACCCGACACCAUGCCUGGAUUCUUUGACCUCAUCAGAAUCUACUUCCCUGUGCUGUACGACAUCAAGCAUCUCAUGAAGUACUGCGGCAGCCUCCAUGGUGGCUUGAGCAAGCUUGGUGAGCUACUUGGUGUCCAACGUGUGGGGAUCUGCCACCAGGCUGGGUCUGACUCGCUGCUGACCUUGCGGUGCUUCAAAAAGCUGAAGGAGGCAUAUUUCAGAGGAUCGACCGAGAAUUAUGCCGGUGUAUUGUAUGGUCUUAUUUCUGAUGGUGGGGAGAACAGACCACCAGCAGCUCUGCUCAUCGAAUGAGUAACGGAUAGUCAAAUAAGACAAUGUUAUGGUUGAAAAAAAGGAAAUGUUUCUGUUGAAUAUAUGCUCUCUGAUCUGAAUAUUUGCUUGUGGUUGCCAUAGUAUAGCUAUUGUUCCCAGUUAUAUGACUCUCGUUGCUAUAUCAUGGUAGUUCUGUUGAAUGCUCGGUCUUUCCCUUUGAGCUGUAUGGGACAUCUAUCAGGUUUGGGACAGCCCUUGAUGCGCACGACUAAAAAUUG